AACGAACGCUGGCGGCAGGCCUAACACAUGCAAGUCGAACGCUCCGCAAGGAGAGUGGCAGACGGGUGAGUAACACGUGGGAAUCUUCCUAUCGGUGGGGAAUAGCUCAGGGAAACUUGGGGUAAUACCGCAUACGCCCGUAAGGGGAAAGAUUUAUCGCCGAUAGAUGAGCCCGCGUCUGAUUAGCUAGUUGGUGGGGUAAUGGCCCACCAAGGCGACGAUCAGUAGCUGGUUUGAGAGAAUGACCAGCCACACUGGGACUGAGACACGGCCCAGACUCCUACGGGAGGCAGCAGUGGGGAAUCUUGGACAAUGGGCGCAAGCCUGAUCCAGCCAUGCCGCGUGAGUGACGAAGGUCUUCGGAUUGUAAGGCUCUUUUAGCAGGGACGAUAAUGACGGUACCUGCAGAAUAAGCAUCGGCAAACCCUGUGCCAGCCGCCGCCGUAA
RNAcentral lists this ribosomal RNA (447 nucleotides) under uncultured bacterium. RNAcentral's name for it is "partial 16S ribosomal RNA". It matches the Rfam family "Bacterial small subunit ribosomal RNA", at positions 29 to 523 of the family's 1533-position model. The record is from RNAcentral.